GACGAACGCUGGCGGCGUGCUUAACACAUGCAAGUCGAACGGAAAGGCUCUGCUUUUGUGGGGUGCUCGAGUGGCGAACGGGUGAGUAACACGUGAGUAACCUGCCCUUGACUUUGGGAUAACUUCAGGAAACUGGGGCUAAUAUCGGAUAGGAGCUCCUGCUGCAUGGCGGGGGUUCGAAAGUUUCGGCGGUUGGGGCUGGACUCGCGGCUUAUCAGCUUGUUGGUGGGGUAGUGGCUUACCAAGGCUUUGACGGGUAGCCGGCCUGAGAGGGUGACCGGCCACAUUGGGACUGAGAUACGGCCCAGACUCCUACGGGAGGCAGCAGUGGGGAAUAUUGCACAAUGGGCGGAAGCCGGAUGCAGCAACGCCGCGUGCGGGAUGACGGCCUUCGGGUUGUAAACCGCUUUCGCCUGUGACGAAGCGUGAGUGACGGUAAUGGGUAAAGAAGCACCGGCUAACUACGUG
Molecule: ribosomal RNA, 468 nt
Filed under: uncultured bacterium
Lineage: Bacteria
Description: partial 16S ribosomal RNA
Rfam family: Bacterial small subunit ribosomal RNA
Source: RNAcentral